CCUACGGUGGGCUGCAGUGGGGAAUAUUGGACAAUGGGCGAAAGCCUGAUCCAGCCAUGCCGCGUGUGUGAAGAAGGCCUUCGGGUUGUAAAGCACUUUCAGUGGGGAAGAAAGCCUUGGGGCUAAUACCCUCGAGGAAGGACAUCACCCACAGAAGAAGCACCGGCUAACUCCGUGCCAGCAGCCGCGGUAAUACGGAGGGUGCGAGCGUUAAUCGGAAUUACUGGGCGUAAAGCGCGCGUAGGCGGUCUGAUAAGCCGGUUGUGAAAGCCCCGGGCUCAACCUGGGAACGGCAUCCGGAACUGUCAGGCUAGAGUGCAGGAGAGGAAGGUAGAAUUCCCGGUGUAGCGGUGAAAUGCGUAGAGAUCGGGAGGAAUACCAGUGGCGAAGGCGGCCUUCUGGACUGACACUGACGCUGAGGUGCGAAAGCGUGGGUAGCAAACAGGAUUAGAUACCCCAGUAGUC
RNAcentral lists this ribosomal RNA (465 nucleotides) under Vreelandella stevensii. RNAcentral describes it as "partial 16S ribosomal RNA". It matches the Rfam family "Bacterial small subunit ribosomal RNA", at positions 338 to 795 of the family's 1533-position model. Lineage: Bacteria; Pseudomonadati; Pseudomonadota; Gammaproteobacteria; Oceanospirillales; Halomonadaceae. The record is from RNAcentral.